GACGAACGCUGGCGGCGUGCUUAACACAUGCAAGUCGUGCGGUAAGGCCCUUUCGGGGGUACACGAGCGGCGAACGGGUGAGUAACACGUGAGCAACCUGCCCUUCACUUUGGGAUAACUGCCGGAAACGGUGGCUAAUACCGGAUAUGACUUCCUCACGCAUGUGGGGUGGUGGAAAGCCUUCGGGUGGUGGGGGAUGGGCUCGCGGUCUAUCAGCUUGUUGGUGGGGUGAUGGCCUACCAAGGCUUCGACGGGUAGCCGGCCUGAGAGGGUGACCGGCCAAAAGGGGAAGGAGAAGCGGCCCAAACCCCUAGGGGGGGGAGCGGGGGGGAAAAUGGGAAAAGGGGCGAAAGCCUGAACCAGCAACGCCGGGGGGGGGAUGAGGGCCUUGGGGUUGGAAACCUCUUUCGCCGGCGACGAAGGGGGAGUGACGGUAGGAGGUAAAGAAGCACCGGCCAACUACGG
RNAcentral lists this ribosomal RNA (465 nucleotides) under uncultured bacterium. Its description in RNAcentral is "partial 16S ribosomal RNA". It matches the Rfam family "Bacterial small subunit ribosomal RNA", at positions 28 to 506 of the family's 1533-position model. The record is from RNAcentral.